GCAUUCAGUUGCCAUCGGGUAAUGCCGGGCACUCUGGAAGGACUGCCAUCGACAAGAUGGAGGAAGUGGGGAUGACGUCAAGUCAUCAUGGCCCUUAUGUCCAGGGCGACACACGUGCUACAAUGGCCGGCACAACGGGAAGCGAGUUCGCGAGGACGAGCGGAUCCCUUAAAGCCGGUCGCAGUUCGGAUUGAAGUCUGCAACUCGACUUCAUGAAGCUGGAAUCGCUAGUAAUCGUGGAUCAGCCAAGCCGCGGUGAAUACGUUCCCGGGCCUU
Molecule: ribosomal RNA, 276 nt
Filed under: uncultured Synergistaceae bacterium
Lineage: Bacteria; Thermotogati; Synergistota; Synergistia; Synergistales; Synergistaceae
Description: partial 16S ribosomal RNA
Rfam family: Bacterial small subunit ribosomal RNA
Source: RNAcentral